Molecule: small RNA, 21 nt
Filed under: Arabidopsis thaliana (thale cress)
Lineage: Eukaryota; Viridiplantae; Streptophyta; Magnoliopsida; Brassicales; Brassicaceae
Description: ATSL070840
Source: RNAcentral
AAAAAAAGAAGAAGAAAAAGA